CCUACGGGUGGCUGCAGUGGGGGAUAUUGCACAAUGGGGGGAACCCUGAUGCAGCGACGCCGCGUGGGUGAAGGAGUAUUUCGGGAUGUAAAGCCCUAUCGGCAGGGAAGAAUUUAGACGGUACCUGACUAAGACGCCCCGGCUAACUACGUGACAGCAGCCGCGGUAAUACGUAGGGGGCAAGCGUUAUCCGGAUACACUGGGGGUAAAGGGAGCGUAGACGGCCAGGCAAGCCUGGAGUGAAAGCCCGGGGCUCAACCCCGUCGUGCCGUUGAAACUGAUGUUCUUGAGUGGGCGAGAAGUAUGCGGAAUGCGUGGUGUAGCGGUGAAAUGCAUAGAUAUCACGCAGAACUCCGAUUGCGAAGGCAGCAUACCGGCGCCCAACUGACGCUGAAGCACGAAAGCGUGGGUAUCGAACAGGAUUAGAUACCCGGGUAGUC
RNAcentral lists this ribosomal RNA (440 nucleotides) under uncultured bacterium. RNAcentral's name for it is "partial 16S ribosomal RNA". It matches the Rfam family "Bacterial small subunit ribosomal RNA", at positions 338 to 795 of the family's 1533-position model. The record is from RNAcentral.